Molecule: ribosomal RNA, 1465 nt
Filed under: metagenome
Description: bacterial SSU rRNA
Rfam family: Bacterial small subunit ribosomal RNA
Source: RNAcentral
AGAGUUUGAUCCUGGCUCAGAAUGAACGCUGGCGGCGUGGAUUAGGCAUGCAAGUCGAACGGACGUAGCAAUACGUUAGUGGCGACCUGGUGAGUACAAGUUGGGUAACUUGCCCGAAAGUGGGGGAUAACUUCCUGAAAGGGAGGCUAAUACCGCAUGUGGUCAAUGGCUCUUCGGGGCUGCUGACUAAAGCAGCAAUGUGCUUUCGGAUGGGCCCGACUCCCAUUAGCUAGUUGGCGGGGUAAUGGCCCACCAAGGCUACGAUGGGUAGGUGGCUUGAGAGAGUGGUCACCCACACGAGGACUGAGAUACGGCCUCGACUCCUACGGGGGGCAGCAGUCUAGAGGCUUCGGCAAUGGACGAAAGUCUGACCGAGCGACGCCGCGUGGAGGAUGAAGGCCUUCGGGUUGUAAACUCCUUUCGGCAGGAAGAAAGGUCUGGAUGGUGAAUCCAGGAUUGAUCUACCUGCGGAAGAAGCCCCGGCUAACUUCGUGCCAGCAGCCGCGGUAAUACGAAGGGGGCGAGCGUUAUUCGGAUUUAUUGGGCGUAAAGGGCGCGCAGGCGGCUGGGCAAGUCUGGUGUGAAAACGCUACCGCUUAACGGAGCGAUUGCGCUGGAAACUGCUCAACUUGAGUGCAAGAGAGACAAGCGGAAUACCUGGUGUAGCGGUGGAAUGCUCAGAGAUCAGGUAGAACACCUGAGGCGAAGGCGGCUUGUUGGCUUGUAACUGACGCUGAGGCGCGAAAGCGUGGGGAUCAAACGGGAUUAGAUACCCCGGUAGUCCACGCUGUAAACGGUGAGUACUAGGUGUGCGGGGUACCCAUUCCCUGCGUGCCGCAGCUAACGCAUUAAGUACUCCGCCUGGGAAGUACGGCCGCAAGGUUGAAACUCAAAGGAAUUGACGGGGGCCCGCACAAGCGGUGGAGCAUGUGGUUUAAUUCGAUACUACGCGAAGAACCUUACCUGGGCUUGAACUGAGGCUUACAUGGGAUGAAAGUCCCUGCCCUUCGGGGGUGCCUUAGAGGUGCUGCAUGGCUGUCGUCAGCUCGUGUCGUGAGAUGUUGGGUUAAGUCCCGCAACGAGCGCAACCCUUGUCUUCAGUUACCAGCGCGUAAUGGCGGGGACUCUGGAGAGACUGCCCGCGGUAAGCGGGAGGAAGGUGAGGACGACGUCAAGUCAUCAUGGCCCUUACGUCCAGGGCUACACACGUGCUACAAUGGCGGGGACAACGCGCUGCGACCAUGCGAGUGGAAGCGAAUCGCUAAAACCCCGUCCCAGUUCAGAUUGGAGUCUGCAACUCGACUCCAUGAAGAUGGAAUCGCUAGUAAUCGCGGAUCAGAAUGCCGCGGUGAAUCUGUUCCCGGGCCUUGUACACACCGCCCGUCACGUCACGAAAGUCCGUUGUACCAGAAGUCGCUGUCGGAACCCUUUAACAAGGACCAAGGCGCCGAAGGUAUGGCUGGCA